RNAcentral lists this ribosomal RNA (628 nucleotides) under Tetanocera arrogans. RNAcentral describes it as "partial 12S ribosomal RNA". The stretch from base 1 to 416 matches the Rfam family "Microsporidia small subunit ribosomal RNA", at positions 750 to 1311 of the family's 1311-position model. Lineage: Eukaryota; Metazoa; Arthropoda; Insecta; Diptera; Sciomyzidae. The record is from RNAcentral.
CAGAGUAGUAUUAGUUAUGUUCUUGAAACUUAAAAAAUUUGGCGGUAUUUUAGCCUAUCCAGAGGAACCUGUUCUAUAAUCGAUAUUCCACGAUGGACCUUUCUUAUUCUUGUCAUCAGCUUAUAUACCGUCGUUAGCAGAAUAUUUUAAAAGAAUAAUAAUUUUCAAUAGGUCUUAUUAUAAUUUAUAUCAGAUCAAGGUGUAGCUUAUGAAUAAGUAGUAAUGGGUUACAAUAAAAUUAUUUAAAUGGAGAUUGACAUGAAAACUCAAUUGAAAGUGGAUUUGGUAGUAAAUUUAUAUAGAUUAAUAAGUUGACUUUAGCUCUAAAAUAUGCACACAUCGCCCGUCGCUCUUAUUACUAAGAUAAGAUAAGUCGUAACAUAGUAGAAGUACCGGAAGGUGUUUCUAGAAUGACAAUUUAAAGCUUAAUAGGAAGCAAUUCAUUUACAUUGAAAGGAUUUAUGUGCAAAUCAUUAUAAAUUGGUUAAAUUUUAUUUACUGAUUAGAUUUGUUGGGACUUUAUUUUAUUAAAAAUAAUUAUAUGUUUUAGUGUUUUAGUAUCUCUUAGAAAAAAUUAUAUAAGUUAUAGUAAAUAGUAUUGUAAAAGAAUAUUGAAAUAUUUGAAAAA